This is a non-coding RNA of Equus caballus (horse), 620 nucleotides long. Lineage: Eukaryota; Metazoa; Chordata; Mammalia; Perissodactyla; Equidae. The record is from RefSeq and is a predicted model, not a curated record.
UUUGUGGCACAUACUACUUGUUGGUGAACACAGCUGUCUCUCCCCACAAAGGAACAUUUGUGAUGAUAUUACUGUUGACUAUACCAUCAAAUUCCCAUAAGGAAGUAAAAGUUUGGAUCAAGAACAUUUCAACACAAUGAAAAGUUUCUUCAUAUAAAAAAUGGAUUCAGUAGAUAAUCUCAACUACUUUCUUCAUAUUUUAAAAUGUUAUGGCUCUGGACUCAUUGAAAAUGAACUUUUAUAUACCUUUUGUGAAAUGAGAAGUGAUGCACCAUCUCAAGAUUCGUGCUCUGAUUUAAAAGAAGCUACAGAGAAGCUACACUGUAUCACAGGAUGGUCCUACUGCUUGUGAAAGCAGGUUUGGAUUUGUAAGCUUGCAAGGCUAGAUCUGCAAUAAAGUGGCGACUUCAAAAUGGCCGUGGAAAGUAUGAAAAUGGGAAAUUAAUGAUUUUACAUUCAGAAACUUUGCUUAUAAUUGAAUCAUGUUAUGUGACAGGUAAAUGUUGUUGCCUUGGGUUUCCAGCGAAUCUGUGUCUAAUGAUUAUUAUUCUUUCUUGAAAAUAGCAACUCAUUAAGAUGACUAUUUUCUGUCAGGCUUACCUUAUACGGCAUUUCUUCAU